RNAcentral lists this long non-coding RNA (366 nucleotides) under Setaria italica (foxtail millet). RNAcentral's name for it is "long non-coding RNA (SITA_LNC003928)". Lineage: Eukaryota; Viridiplantae; Streptophyta; Magnoliopsida; Poales; Poaceae. The record is from RNAcentral.
AGGACGGCGACCGCGGGUUCCGGAUCCCCGCCGCCGACGACACCGACGACCGCCGCGCCCUUGCCCUCCGCCUCGUCGCCGACACCCUGCUCGACCGCCGCCGCGGGUACGCGCACAGCAGCCCGUCCCGCUCCGCCGCCGCGUUCAGGUCGUAGAGCUCCUGCUCCAGCGCCUUCUGCUCGCCCACCGCGCUCUCCGCCUCCGCCGCCGCGUUCAGGUCGUAGAGCUCCUGCUCCAGCGCCUUCUGCUCGCCCGCCGCGCUCUCCGCCGCCGCCGCCGCCUCGGCCUCCCUGGCGCGCAUUUCGGCGGUUACGCGCUCGGCGGCCUCCGCGCGCGCCUCCAGCUCCUUCUCGCCGGCCUUGAGUG